Odontomachus brunneus is the source of this 397-nucleotide long non-coding RNA. RefSeq lists it as uncharacterized. The transcript is spliced from 2 exons. NCBI's taxonomy places the organism in Eukaryota, Metazoa, Arthropoda, Insecta, Hymenoptera, Formicidae. The record is from RefSeq and is a predicted model, not a curated record.
UCCAUUUCCCGUUCAGUUUGCGGAAAAUCAUCCGAAGCGACGUUCACCGUUUGUUUCACAAUUCACACGGUGCAUCUCUCUUUCUCUCUCUCUCUUUCGCUCUGCCCCGAUGAAGCUCAUAAAUUUGUGGUCGUUGUUGGCAAUGGCCUUCUUACUUCUGGGAAUCGCAGGCGCGACAACGGAAUCUCUUCUUUCUGACAAAAUUGUUCAUCAGCGUAUAAUCAGGUUUCGGAAUAGAUGCCCCACAGGAUAUACAUUAGUAGAGGACCGCUGCAGACUAGUUAUCGAAAAUGAACCACACUCCUAAAUCUAUAAUAUUCCGUGGAAUAUUAAUAAACAUGAUAUUGUUAUGUCUCUCUUUUGUGCCAACACACAAAUAUAAGCUUUCUACUACUUA